CAGGUCACUCCUACGGGAGGCAGCAGUGGGGAAUAUUGGACAAUGGGGGCAACCCUGAUCCAGCGACGCCGCGUGUGUGAAGAAGGCCUGCGGGUUGUAAAGCACUUUUAGUGGGGAUGAAAAGCACAUCGCUAAUACCGGUGUGUCUUGACCUAACCCAAAGAAAAAGCACCGGCUAACUCUGUGCCAGCAGCCGCGGUAAUACAGAGGGUGCGAGCGUUAAUCGGAAUUACUGGGCGUAAAGCGUGCGUAGACGGUUAUUUAAGUCGGGUGUGAAAGCCCCGGGCUCAACCUGGGAAUUGCAUUCGAGACUGAAUAGCUAGGGUACGGUAGAGGGAAGUGGAAUUUCCGGUGUAGCGGUGAAAUGCGUAGAUAUCGGAAGGAACAUCAGUGGCGAAAGCGACUUCCUGGACCAGUACCGACGUUCAGGCACGAAAGCGUGGGGAGCAAACAGGAUUAGAUACCCUGGUAGUCCACGCCAUAAACGAUGAGGACUAGACGUUGGAGGGGUAAGCCUUUCAGUGUCGUAGCUGACGCGCUAAGUCCUCCGCCUGGGGAGUACGGCCGCAAGGUUGAAACUUAAAGGAAUUGAC
Molecule: ribosomal RNA, 593 nt
Filed under: uncultured Gammaproteobacteria bacterium
Lineage: Bacteria; Pseudomonadati; Pseudomonadota; Gammaproteobacteria
Description: bacterial SSU rRNA
Rfam family: Bacterial small subunit ribosomal RNA
Source: RNAcentral